CUCUUGACAUCCAGCGAACUUUCCAGAGAUGGAUUGGUGCCUUCGGGAACGCUGAGACAGGUGCUGCAUGGCUGUCGUCAGCUCGUGUUGUGAAAUGUUGGGUUAAGUCCGCAACGAGCGCAACCCUUUAUCCUUUGUUGCCAGCGAUUCGGUCGGGAACUCAAAGGAGACUGCCGGUGAUAAACCGGAGGAAGGUGGGGAUGACGUCAAGUCAUCAUGGCCCUUACGAGUAGGGCUACACACGUGCUACAAUGGCGCAUACAAAGAGAAGCGACCUCGCGAGAGCAAGCGGACCUCAUAAAGUGCGUCGUAGUCCGGAUCGGAGUCUGCAACUCGACUCCGUGAAGUCGGAAUCGCUAGUAAUCGUGGAUUAGAAUGCCACGGUGAAUACGUUCCCGGGCCUUGUACACACCGCCCGUCACACCAUGGGAGUGGGUUGCAAAAGAAGUAGGUAGCUUAACCUUCGGGAGGGCGCUUACCACUUUGUGAUUCAUGACUGGGGUGAAGUCGUAACAAGGUAGGCGUAGCGAG
Molecule: ribosomal RNA, 531 nt
Filed under: uncultured bacterium
Lineage: Bacteria
Description: bacterial SSU rRNA
Rfam family: Bacterial small subunit ribosomal RNA
Source: RNAcentral